UAAAGUUUUCUUUAUUGGGGUUGCGGACAUAUCAUAACGAAGAGGUAUCGUAAUUGAAGAGGUUUGGAAAGACCCACCACAGAAGGUAAUAGUCCUGUAUGUUAAACGAGAAGACUUCAGAUAUGAUCCAGAGUACCACGGGACACGUGAAACCCUGUGGGAAGCAGGAGGGACCACCCUCCAAGGCUAAAUACUACCUAGUGACCGAUAGCGUAUAGUACCGUGAGGGAAAGGUGAAAAGAACCCCGGGAGGGGAGUGAAAUAGAACCUGAAACCCUGCACUUACAAGCUGUGGAAGCACAUUUCUUGUGUGACCGCGUACUUUUUGUAGAACGGGCCAACGAGUUACGUUAAGUAGCAAGGUUAAGCACUUAAGGUGCGGAGCCGUAGCGAAAGCGAGUUUUAACUGAGCGUUCAGUUACUUGACGUAGACCCGAAACCGGGCGACCUACCCAUGAGCAGGAUGAAGCGAAAGUAAAAUUUCGUGGAGGUCCGAACCCACGAGCGUUGAAAAGCUCGGGGAUGACUUGUGGGUAGCGGUGAAAUUCCAAUCGAGCCCGGAGAUAGCUGGUUCUCCCCGAAAUAGCUUUAGGGCUAGCCUCAAGGUGAGAGAUACGGAGGUAGAGCACUGAAUGUCCUAGGGGGUAUUGCACCUACCGAAGACUAUCAAACUCCGAAUGCCGUCAUCUUAUACUUGGGAGUCAGACUGUGGGUGAUAAGAUUCAUAGUCGAAAGGGCAACAGCCCAGAUCGUCAGCUAAGGUCCCUAAAUGUAAGUUAAGUGGUAAAGGAUGUGGGAUUGCACAGACAACCAGGAUGUUGGCUUAGAAGCAGCCACUCAUUCAAAGAGUGCGUAAUAGCUCACUGGUCGAGUGAUCCUGCGCCGAAGAUUUCCGGGGCUAAAACUUACUACCGAAGCUACGGCAUCAGUAAUGAUGGGUAGGGGAGCUUCCCAUACGGGUUGAAGCAUGACCGUAAGGACAUGUGGACAGUAUGGGAGUGAGAAUGUUGGCAUGAGUAGCGAGAUGUGGGUGAGAAUCCCACAGGCCGUAAACCCAAGGUUUCCAGGGGAAGGUUCGUCCGCCCUGGGUUAGUCGGGACCUAAGCUGAGGCCGAAAGGCGUAGGUGAUGGACAACAGGUUGAUAUUCCUGUACUACCGAUAACCGUUUGAGAGAAGGGAUGACACAGUAGGAUAAGCUAAGCACACUGUUGGUUAUGUGUGCCCAAGCAUUGAGGCAGUCAAAGUAGGCAAAUCCGCUUUGAUAAUGCUGGGAUGUGAUGGGGAGCGAAAUUUAGUAGCGAAGUAGCUGAUUUCACACUGUCAAGAAAAGUCUCUAUCGAGGUUAAAGGUACCCGUACCGCAAACCGACACAGGUGGGUGAGGAGAGUAUCCUAAGGCCAGCGAGAGAACUGUUGUUAAGGAACUCGGCAAAAUGACCCCGUAACUUAGGGAUAAGGGGUGCCACCAUCAGGUGGCCGCAGAGAAUAGGCCCAAGCGACUGUUUACCAAAAACAUAGGUUUCUGCUAAGUCGCAAGACGAUGUAUAGGAGCUGACGCCUGCCCGGUGCUGGAAGGUUAAGGGGAUCUGUUAGAGCAAUCGAAGCAGUGAACUUAAGCCCCAGUAAACGGCGGCCGUAACUAUAACGGUCCUAAGGUAGCGAAAUUCCUUGUCGGGUAAGUUCCGACCCGCACGAAAGGCGUAACGAUUUGGGCACUGUCUCAACAACAGACUCGGUGAAAUUGUAAUUCCGGUGAAGAUGCCGGAUACCUGCGACAGGACGGAAAGACCCCAUGGAGCUUUACUGUAGCUUGACAUUGGGUCUUGGUACUACAUGUACAGGAUAGGUGGGAGGCUUUGAAACCAGGACGCCAGUUUUGGCGGAGCCAUCCUUGGGAUACCACCCUUGUAGUACUGGGACUCUAACCAUAGGCCAUGAAUCUGGUCUUGGGACACUGUCAGGUGGGCAGUUUGACUGGGGCGGUCGCCUCCCAAAAGGUAACGGAGGCGCUCAAAGGUUCUCUCAGUACGGUCGGAAAUCGUACGUAGAGUGUAAAGGCAAAAGAGAGCUUGAUUGCAAGACAUACAGGUCGAGCAAGGAUGAAAAUCGGACUUAGUGAUCCGGUGGUUCUGCGUGGAAGGGCCAUCGCUCAACGGAUAAAAGCUACCCUGGGGAUAACAGGCUUAUCUCCCCCAAGAGUCCACAUCGACGGGGAGGUUUGGCACCUCGAUGUCGGCUCAUCACAUCCUGGGGCUGUAGUAGGUCCCAAGGGUUGGGCUGUUCGCCCAUUAAAGUGGUACGCGAGCUGGGUUCAGAACGUCGUGAGACAGUUCGGUCCCUAUCCGUCGCAGGCGUAGGAAAUUUGAGAAGACCUGUCCUUAGUACGAGAGGACCGGGAUGGACGUACCUCUGGUGUACCAGUUGUNCUGCCAAGGGCAUGGCUGGGUAGCUAUGUACGGAAUGGAUAAGCGCUGAAAGCAUCUAAGCGCGAAGCCAACUUCAAGAUAAGAUUUCCCACCGCAAGGGUAAGACCCCAGAAAGACUAUCUGGUUGAUAGGUCGAAGGUGUAAGUGCAGCAAUGUAUUUAGCUUAUCGAUACUAAUAGGUCGAGGACUUGACCAA
This 2622-nucleotide ribosomal RNA is filed under the name Clostridioides difficile. RNAcentral describes it as "23S ribosomal RNA". It matches the Rfam family "Bacterial large subunit ribosomal RNA". Lineage: Bacteria; Bacillati; Bacillota; Clostridia; Peptostreptococcales; Peptostreptococcaceae. The record is from RNAcentral.